This is a long non-coding RNA of Lethenteron reissneri (Far Eastern brook lamprey), 307 nucleotides long. RefSeq lists it as uncharacterized. The record is from RefSeq and is a predicted model, not a curated record. NCBI's taxonomy places the organism in Eukaryota, Metazoa, Chordata, Hyperoartia, Petromyzontiformes, Petromyzontidae.
GGAAAUUCGCAGCCGCAAUGGCGGCGCACGGAGGGGAGAGGGAGGAGGAGACGGCGAGACCCGGAAUCCCGUCUGGCGGCCGCCCACAGCAGACGUCCCCUUCCAGACCCUCGCCGUGGCCGACUCGCAGCGCCAGCGCCCCGAGCCGGCCUCCCUGAGCUCGCAGGAGGAUCUCGAGCUUAUUACAGUUGGCCAACUCGGAAUUGGAGCUGGGGCAAACGUCUCCAAGUCAGCAGCCUCUCACCACCGCUUCCACUUCACCUACGGGGUUGUUGACCGGGACCCCGCCUCCCGGGGCUGACUGAAG